Long non-coding RNA from Malania oleifera, 701 nucleotides. RefSeq lists it as uncharacterized. The transcript has 2 exons. NCBI's taxonomy places the organism in Eukaryota, Viridiplantae, Streptophyta, Magnoliopsida, Santalales, Ximeniaceae. The record is from RefSeq and is a predicted model, not a curated record.
GACCGUAGCAAAUUAGAGAUGGCUGCAUUAUGGAGAUACUGGCGACACUUCAACCUUGUGAGUUGUUUGGUGACAAAAUUUGAAGGAACUUGAGUUUUUGUUCCAGUCUGCUCAAAUAUCUUAUGCACUAAUCUCUAAUGAAAAUUCUAGGUGGAAGCCAUCCCCGUCCCAUCUAAAGAGCAACUAAUUGAUGUUGUCCAAAGGCAUUUCAUGUCGCAGCAAAUGGACGAGCUGCAGGUGAUUGUGGGGUUUGUGCAAGCUGCAAAGAGACUGAAAACCAUGUGCAAAUGACCCUUCGACACUAGUCAGCAAUUGAGGGUGAUCUUUUGCAUUUGGUCAAUAUUGACGCAAGCUAACAGAUACCACCGGGUACUCUGAUGCCCUCUUCUCUCUUCUGGUGAUAAUAUCAUACAUACAUAUAUGUAUCCCUAAGGCGUGCUUUACCCCCCUGUAUUUUUUUCUUCCUCAUUUGGGUUUCAGUUAGUAGGUUGCUAUUUAUGCCAUCCCGAGUUAUAGAGGUUUUCCCCUUUCUUCUCGGUAGUUUAAUAUAGUUAUGUAGAUAUAUGUGAACUUUGGGAAGAGAUGUUCUCCAAGGGAGCCCUGCGGCUUCCAAGUGCUUGGUUGAAUGUAUUACUGACUGGAGGGAAGGUGGGCUUUUUCUGUUUUUCGUUUUUUAAAUGUAUAUUCUUUAGUUCUUUGCA